This 490-nucleotide ribosomal RNA is filed under the name uncultured bacterium. RNAcentral's name for it is "partial 16S ribosomal RNA". It matches the Rfam family "Bacterial small subunit ribosomal RNA", at positions 30 to 507 of the family's 1533-position model. The record is from RNAcentral.
AUUGAACGCUGGCGGCAGGCCUAACACAUGCAAGUCGAACGGUAACAGGAAGAAGCUUGCUUCUUUGCUGACGAGUGGCGGACGGGUGAGUAAUGUCUGGGAAACUGCCUGAUGGAGGGGGAUAACUACUGGAAACGGUAGCUAAUACCGCAUAACGUCGCAAGACCAAAGAGGGGGACCUUCGGGCCUCUUGCCAUCGGAUGUGCCCAGAUGGGAUUAGCUAGUAGGUGGGGUAACGGCUCACCUAGGCAACGAUCCCUAGCUGGUCUGAGAGGAUGACCAGCCACACUGGAACUGAGACACGGUCCAGACUCCUACGGGAGGCAGCAGUGGGGAAUAUUGCACAAUGGGCGCAAGCCUGAUGCAGCCAUGCCGCGUGUAUGAAGAAGGCCUUCGGGUUGUAAAGUACUUUCAGCGGGGAGGAAGUGAGUAAAGUUAAUACCUUUGCUCAUUGACGUUACCCGCAGAAGAAGCACCGGCUAACUCCGUG